This 468-nucleotide ribosomal RNA is filed under the name uncultured bacterium. Its description in RNAcentral is "partial 16S ribosomal RNA". It matches the Rfam family "Bacterial small subunit ribosomal RNA", at positions 28 to 507 of the family's 1533-position model. The record is from RNAcentral.
GACGAACGCUGGCGGCGUGCUAAACACAUGCAAGUCGAACGGAAAGGCCCUGCUUUUGUGGGGUGCUCGAGUGGCGAACGGGUGAGUAACACGUGAGUAACCUGCCCUUGACUUUGGGAUAACUUCAGGAAACUGGGGCUAAUACCGGAUAGGAGCUCCUGCUGCAUGGUGGGGGUUGGAAAGUUUCGGCGGUUGGGGAUGGACUCGCGGCUUAUCAGCUUGUUGGUGGGGUAGUGGCUUACCAAGGCUUUGACGGGUAGCCGGCCUGAGAGGGUGACCGGCCACAUUGGGACUGAGAUACGGCCCAGACUCCUACGGGAGGCAGAAGUGGGGAAUAUUGCACAAUGGGCGGAAGCCUGAUGCAGCAACGCCGCGUGCGGGAUGACGGCCUUCGGGUUGUAAACCGCUUUCGCCUGUGACGAAGCGUGAGUGACGGUAAUGGGUAAAGAAGCACCGGCUAACUACGUG